AAAGAUAAUUACCUAAAUAAACUUCUCCAUUUCUGCCAAACUAAACCAGUUAAUGCUUUGACUUUAGUGGCAUUUAUUUCUGCACUUAUUGUUGAAGUUUACUGACCUAAUAACUGAGACUGGUUGUGUCAACAGCAGAAAUGCCUAUCACACCCCCGCUGCCCUUUGUCUUCAUUACUGCUCUUCAGUAUAUGAACAGAAACAGCCGUAGCUCCUCAGUAUUAGUGAGUGAAUUUUAAAAAAAAUCCUUUUAAUGCGUAAAGUAAAACCUGCAAUUGAUGCUAUAGUUUAAAAACAUGCAAGCAUCGGGAUUUAAAUCCCUCUAUUUUAGCAAAUGGACAAGCGACAGUUCUCUGGAGCAGAAGCCCACAUAACUCUGAGUGCCUUCAUUUGCUGGCACUUGUGCUGAUUUCAGUAGGCCUACAUCACUUCCUAUUAGAGAAUGUAACCCCACACUAAGAAAAAUCAGAAAAUUAUUUCAUAUUUUUAAGAUCAGCCAUCCAUCCAGUGAACGGGGACACUGUCAGACUGGCAGCCUACAGAGCCCUGAGGCUGGCUGUGGUUUCAGGACUCCCAGCCGCAGGUGAGCUGUGGGAUGCUGGGAGUAGCAGCAGCCACAACUUAACUCCCUGCCAAAGUGUAGAAAAGAUGCUUAAAAAUUCUCGCAGCCUCACCUGAGCUUCUGGAAGGGAACAGUAAUAGAGGUGUGGUCAGCAUGGGCUUCUUGUGGCUUAGGGAAGCCAGCUGGUGGGAGACCCUGAGAAAAGCUGCCUGAGUAAGCUGCUCCUGAGCAGGAGGAAGGCAGAAGGACCCAGCCUUAGACAAAGCAGAGACACAAAAUGCUCGGCCCCAGGGUGACAUAGCUGUGCUCUGAAGAAAAACUUUGUCCCUGCUGUGCUGGUGGCUGCAGCUGCUCUAGGGUCUGAAGUCAGGAGACGCAGAUCCUCGGGGCGUCCUGGCACUGCUCUGGGAGCAGCUCCAUCCAUUCUCACCUCCCAGUCUGCGUCUCUCCAUGGCUGUGUAGCCUGCUCUGCAAACACCAGCACUAAGCGAGGCAUUGGCAGGCACAGAGCUGUCAGCAUAAGAUCACGACUGACACGGUGACUUCUAGUUAACGAGCAUUCCCUUCUCUGUGUGCCAGUUGAGUUUCUUUGCAUCAGGAGACUGCAAGGUGGAGAAAGAUAUAAGGCAGCUGAUAAUGAUGCAGGGAACUCCUCUUCCAAAGCAGCAGCUCCUGUCUUAGGGCUUGUGAAGCUGCAGUGGAACUUUGCUGUCUGUGUCUGGGACAGGAGGAAAGCUGUGAGCUCCA
Molecule: long non-coding RNA, 1309 nt
Filed under: Phasianus colchicus (ring-necked pheasant)
Lineage: Eukaryota; Metazoa; Chordata; Aves; Galliformes; Phasianidae
Description: lncRNA (ENSPCLG00000012016.1)
Source: RNAcentral